GUUUGCUAAGUGUGGGGUUUUACUGAAGGCAGCACCUGCUUCUGCAGCACAGCUGGUCUGAAAAGCCAGGUUGCUCCUUGUGAGGGCUUAGGGGUCGGUUUUAACAGUCACUCCAAGCAGGCACAGGGAGAAGAUGCUGUCCUCUUCUGGCAGCCUGGCUGGUCAUAACUCCAUGCAGGAAGCUCAUCUUGUGUGCUGAUAACAGAAAAGAAAUGGAAGAUUGGAUUGCAGCAUUAAAGACUGUGCAGAACAGGGAGCACUUUGAGCCCACCCAGUACAGCAUGGACCACUUCUCAGGGAUGCACAAUUGGUACGCCUGUUCCCACGCGAGGCCGACCUACUGCAAUGUGUGCCGUGAGGCUCUGUCUGGGGUCACGUCGCACGGGCUGUCCUGCGAGGUGUGCAAAUUUAAGGCCCACAAGCGCUGUGCUGUGCGUGCAACCAAUAACUGCAAGUGGACCACACUGGCCUCGAUCGGGAAGGACAUCAUUGAAGAUGCAGAUGGG
This 506-nucleotide small RNA is filed under the name Pan troglodytes (chimpanzee). RNAcentral's name for it is "processed transcript". The record is from RNAcentral. Lineage: Eukaryota; Metazoa; Chordata; Mammalia; Primates; Hominidae.